GACGAACGCUGGCGGCGUGCUUAACACAUGCAAGUCGAACGGAAAGGCCCUGCUUUUGUGGGGUGCUCGAGUGGCGAACGGGUGAGUAACACGUGAGUAACCUGCCCUUGACUUUGGGAUAACUUCAGGAAACUGGGGCUAAUACCGGAUAGGAGCUCCUGCUGCAUGGUGGGGGUUGGAAAGUUUCGGCGGUUGGGGAUGGACUCGCGGCUUAUCAGCUUGUUGGUGGGGUAGUGGCUUACCAAGGCUUUGACGGGUAGCCGGCCUGAGAGGGUGACCGGCCACAUUGGGACUGAGAUACGGCCCAGACUCCUACGGGAGGCAGCAGUGGGGAAUAUUGCACAAUGGGCGGAAGCCUGAUGCAGCAACGCCGCGUGCGGGAUGACGGCCUUCGGGUUGUAAACCGCUUUCGCCUGUGACGAAGCGUGAGUGACGGUAAUGGGUAAAGAAGCACCGGCUAACUACGUGCCAGCAGCCGCGGUGAUACGUAGGGUGCGAGCGUUGUCCGGAUUUAUUGGGCGUAAAGGGCUCGUAGGUGGUUGAUCGCGUCGGAAGUGUAAUCUUGGGGCUUAACCCUGAGCGUGCUUUCGAUACGGGUUGACUUGAGGAAGGUAGGGGAGAAUGGAAUUCCUGGUGGAGCGGUGGAAUGCGCAGAUAUCAGGAGGAACACCAGUGGCGAAGGCGGUUCUCUGGGCCUUUCCUGACGCUGAGGAGCGAAAGCGUGGGGAGCGAACAGGCUUAGAUACCCUGGUAGUCCACGCUGUAAACGGUGGGUACUAGGUGUGGGGUCCAUUCCACGGGUUCCGUGCCGUAGCUAACGCUUUAAGUACCCCGCCUGGGGAGUACGGCCGCAAGGCUAAAACUCAAAGGAAUUGACGGGGCCCCGCACAAGCGGCGGAGCAUGCGGAUUAAUUCGAUGCAACGCGUAGAACCUUACCUGGGUUUGACAUGGAUCGGGAGUGCCCAGAGAUGGGUGUGCCUCUUUUGGGGUCGGUUCACAGGUGGUGCAUGCCUGUCGUCAGCUCGUGUCGUGAGAUGUUGGGUUAAGUCCCGCAACGAGCGCAACCCUUGUUCACUGUUGCCAGCACGUUAUGGUGGGGACUCAGUGGAGACCGCCGGGGUCAACUCGGAGGAAGGUGGGGAUGACGUCAAGUCAUCAUGCCCCUUAUGUCCAGGGCUUCACGCAUGCUACAAUGGCUGGUACAGAGAGUGGCGAGCCUGUGAGGGUGAGCGAAUCUCGGAAAGCCGGUCUCAGUUCGGAUUGGGGUCUGCAACUCGACCUCAUGAAGUCGGAGUCGCUAGUAAUCGCAGAUCAGCAACGCUGCGGUGAAUACGUUCCCGGG
RNAcentral lists this ribosomal RNA (1343 nucleotides) under uncultured bacterium. RNAcentral's name for it is "16S ribosomal RNA". It matches the Rfam family "Bacterial small subunit ribosomal RNA", at positions 28 to 1378 of the family's 1533-position model. The record is from RNAcentral.